Malaclemys terrapin pileata is the source of this 866-nucleotide long non-coding RNA. RefSeq lists it as uncharacterized. The transcript has 3 exons. Lineage: Eukaryota; Metazoa; Chordata; Testudines; Emydidae. The record is from RefSeq and is a predicted model, not a curated record.
GGUGCACCCUGUGAGGAGAGAGUUUGAGCUGGUAAACCCAGGGGAGAGCCAGAAGGUGGGGCUGAUAAGUAAGAAGGAGUCCAGUGAAAGCACAACAGAGUUUGAGGGAAAACAGGCAACAGUUGCAGGUAUAAAGUCCCUGGAUUCGAACCUGGAGUAGUGGGUGGGCCUAGGUUCCCCUCCCAGCCACUGGGGAAGUGGCACAGAUCAGGCAGUGGAGCAUAGGCUGCCUAGGACAGUUGUCCAGAGCGACUUUGUUACCCUGAAAGGGGAGGACUAUAGUGACCUGGCUGGAGGGCUGAAUCAUGAAGGAGCACCCUGAGUCCUAGAGACCGACAGAGACCACAAAGCAAGGAACUGACAGGAGGGGAUGUCACACCUGGAACUAGCUAAUCCCCAGAGCAACCAGAAGGAGGUGCUCCAAUGUUUGCAUCUGUUCUCUAUGCUCCAUGCAAUAUUGUGCUCUGCAUUGGCAGGAAAAAAGUAACAAAGCCAAUGGAAACAUAGUGCACUCAUCAGCACAGGUGACCAUGGAGUUCCAGAAUUGCAAAAGAGCUCCAGCAUGGACCAAACGGGAGGUACUGCAUCUGAUCGCUGUAUGGGAGAUGAAUCCGUGCUAUCCAAACACCGUUCCAAAAGACGAAAUGCUGGAAUAUUUGAAAAAUCUCCAAGGCCAGAGGUUAUAACAGGGACCCGCUGCAGUGCCACGUGAAGCCUACCAGAGAGGUAAAUGGCCGCUCUGGGUCAGAUCUUCAGACAUGCCGCUUCUAUGAUGAGCUGCAUGCCAUUCUAGAGGGUGUCCCUACAACUACCCCACCCCUGUGCUUCCCUCCUCUCCCACCCCUCCUGGGCUACCUUGGCAGUUA